RNAcentral lists this ribosomal RNA (254 nucleotides) under uncultured bacterium. Its description in RNAcentral is "partial 16S ribosomal RNA". It matches the Rfam family "Bacterial small subunit ribosomal RNA", at positions 524 to 776 of the family's 1533-position model. The record is from RNAcentral.
CACGUAGGGUGCGAGCGUUGUCCGGAAUUAUUGGGCGUAAAGAGCUCGUAGGCGGUGUGUCGCGUCGGCCGUGAAAACCUGUGGCUUAACUAUGGGCUUGCGGUCGAUACGGGCAUCACUGGAGUUCGGCAGGGGAGACUGGAAUUCCUGGUGUAGCGGUGAAAUGCGCAGAUAUCAGGAGGAACACCGGUGGCGAAGGCGGGUCUCUGGGCCGAUACUGACGCUGAGGCGCGAAAGCCAGGGGAGCAAACGGG